This 487-nucleotide ribosomal RNA is filed under the name uncultured bacterium. RNAcentral's name for it is "partial 16S ribosomal RNA". It matches the Rfam family "Bacterial small subunit ribosomal RNA", at positions 28 to 523 of the family's 1533-position model. The record is from RNAcentral.
GACGAACGCUGGCGGCGUGCCUAACACAUGCAAGUCGAGCGGAGGCGCCUGAAGAGCAAUCGGAGGGUGUCUGAGCGGCGGACGGGUGAGUAACGCGUGAGCGAUCUGCCUUUCACAGGGGGAUAACGCAGCGAAAGCUGCACUAAUACCGCAUGAGACCACGGUACUGAUGGUACAGGGGUCAAAGGAGAGAUCCGGUGAGAGAUGAGCUCGCGUCCGAUUAGGUAGUUGGUGAGGUAACGGCCCACCAAGCCAAUGAUCGGUAGCCGGCCUGAGAGGGUGGACGGCCACAUUGGAACUGGGAGACGGUCCAAACGCCUACGGGAGGCAGCAGUGGGGAAUAUUGGGCAAUGGGGGAAACCCUGACCCAGCAACGCCGCGUGAGGGAAGAAGGUUUUCGGAUUGUAAACCUCUGUUCUUGGAGAAGAGGAGAAGACGGUAUCCAAGGAGGAAGCCCCGGCUAACUACGUGCCAGCCGCCGCAGUAA